AACGAACGCUGGCGGCGCGCUUAACACAUGCAAGUCGAACGAGAAGGCGUAGCAAUACGCUUGUACAGUGGCGAACGGGUGAGUAAUACGUGGGCGACCUACCCUCGAGUGGGGAAUAACCCGCCGAAAGGCGGGCUAAUGCCGCGUACGCUUCCAUCUUUAUGGAGGUGGAAGGAAAGCCGUGCCGUGGGCACGGCGCUCAAGGAUGGGCUCACGUCCUAUCAGCUUGUUGGAGGGUAACGGCCUACCAAGGCUCCGACGGGUAGCUGGUCUGAGAGGACGAUCAGCCACACUGGCACUGCGACACGGGCCAGACUCCUACGGGAGGCAGCAGUGAGGAAUAUUGCGCAAUGGGCGAAAGCCUGACGCAGCGACGCCGCGUGGGGGAUGAAGGUCUUCGGAUUGUAAACCCCUUUCGGGAGGG
RNAcentral lists this ribosomal RNA (424 nucleotides) under uncultured bacterium. RNAcentral describes it as "bacterial SSU rRNA". It matches the Rfam family "Bacterial small subunit ribosomal RNA", at positions 29 to 444 of the family's 1533-position model. The record is from RNAcentral.